GGGGACGUGGCGAAGCUGGUUAUCGCGCUGGUCUGUCACACCGGAGGUCGCGGGUUCGAGCCCCGUCGUUCCCG
RNAcentral lists this transfer RNA (74 nucleotides) under Treponema sp. RNAcentral describes it as "tRNA-Asp". It matches the Rfam family "tRNA". Rfam says of the family: Transfer RNA (tRNA) molecules are approximately 80 nucleotides in length. Their secondary structure includes four short double-helical elements and three loops (D, anti-codon, and T loops). Lineage: Bacteria; Pseudomonadati; Spirochaetota; Spirochaetia; Treponematales; Treponemataceae. The record is from RNAcentral.